GACGAACGCUGGCGGCGUGCCUAAUACAUGCAAGUCGAACGCUUCUUUCCUCCCGAGUGCUUGCACUCAAUUGGAAAGAGGAGUGGCGGACGGGUGAGUAACACGUGGGUAACCUACCCAUCAGAGGGGGAUAACACUUGGAAACAGGUGCUAAUACCGCAUAACAGUUUAUGCCGCAUGGCAUAAGAGUGAAAGGCGCUUUCGGGUGUCGUUGAUGGAUGGACCCGCGGUGCAUUAGCUAGUUGGUGAGGUAACGGCUCACCAAGGCCACGAUGCAUAGCCGACCUGAGAGGGUGAUCGGCCACACUGGGACUGCGACACGGCCCAGACUCCUACGGGAGGCAGCAGUAGGGAAUCUUCGGCAAUGGACGAAAGUCUGACCGAGCAACGCCGCGUGAGUGAAGAAGGUUUUCGGAUCGUAAAACUCUGUUGUUAGAGAAGAACAAGGACGUUAGUAACUGAACGUCCCCUGACGGUAUCUAACCAGAAAGCCACGGCUAACUACGUG
Molecule: ribosomal RNA, 508 nt
Filed under: uncultured bacterium
Lineage: Bacteria
Description: partial 16S ribosomal RNA
Rfam family: Bacterial small subunit ribosomal RNA
Source: RNAcentral